UACGUAGGUGACAAGCGUUAUCCGGAAUUACUGGGCGUAAAGCGCACGCAGGCGGCCGAGAAAGUCUGACGUGAAAUCUCCCGGCUUAACCGGGAGCGGUCGUUGGAAACUACUUGGCUUGAGGCGAUGAGAGGGGUGUGGAAUUCCCGGUGUAGUGGUGGAAUGCGUAGAUAUCGGGAGGAACAUCAGUGGCGAAAGCGGCACCCUGGCAUUAGCCUGACGCUCAGGUGCGAAAGCGUGGGGAGCGAACGGGAUUAGAAACCCCAGUAGUCC
Molecule: ribosomal RNA, 273 nt
Filed under: uncultured bacterium
Lineage: Bacteria
Description: partial 16S ribosomal RNA
Rfam family: Bacterial small subunit ribosomal RNA
Source: RNAcentral